RNAcentral lists this unclassified non-coding RNA (219 nucleotides) under uncultured Botryobasidium. RNAcentral describes it as "sequence contains ITS2". The record is from RNAcentral. Lineage: Eukaryota; Fungi; Basidiomycota; Agaricomycetes; Cantharellales; Botryobasidiaceae.
UAUCAUCAGAAGCCUGUGCCCCUGUGGCCGGUGCUCCUGGACUUGGAUGUGCUGCCGGGCGACCCCGCCUGGCUCAUCCGAAAUGCAUUAGCGAGAGACGUAGGCUCCCCCGGCUCUCUUUGGCGUGAUAAGGUCACCCGUCGAGAGGCCCCGGUGGUGAGGCCUGCAAUCCUUUUGCUUCCAAUUGUCCUCGCGGACAACAGCAGACUCCGGUCUGAC